Molecule: transfer RNA, 65 nt
Filed under: Aeschyntelus notatus
Lineage: Eukaryota; Metazoa; Arthropoda; Insecta; Hemiptera; Rhopalidae
Also listed under: 3 other names
Description: tRNA-Pro
Source: RNAcentral
CAGUAAAUAGUUUAAUUAAAAUAUUAAUUUUGGAGAUUAAUGAUGAGUAUUUUAUUCUUUACUGA